AAAUUUUUGAAUCUGUGCAGAGAUUUUGUCAGACACCAACACAUUAGGGCUGAUCGGACUUCCAAGAUAUGUGGAGUU
RNAcentral lists this microRNA precursor (78 nucleotides) under Schistosoma bovis. Its description in RNAcentral is "mir-3492 microRNA precursor family". It matches the Rfam family "mir-3492 microRNA precursor family". RNAcentral also lists the same sequence under 1 other name. The record is from Rfam by way of RNAcentral. Lineage: Eukaryota; Metazoa; Platyhelminthes; Trematoda; Strigeidida; Schistosomatidae.